AUGGCAUACAAGCUAAGAGACAGAGAUCUGAAGGACAACAGAGGCUUUCAGAAGAGAGCAUCAAUCUCUGAAGAUAUUCAAAAUAGAGAAAUGAUGGAAACCAUAUUAAAAGAGUUGCAGCGAAUGCAAGAAAAACAGGAUGCGUACCAAAAAUUGGCGCAAGAACAAAUGCUGAAUUUUAAGAGGGAGAUAAAAGAAGAGUUAAAAGAAGUGAAGCAAGACAUAAGUGCAUUGAAUCAGGAACUGAGAAAUUUGGAAAGGGAUAAAAAAGAGCUCAAGAGAGCGCACGAGAAGCUCCAAGAAGAGGUUAAAGCCGUAGAACUCAAAAGCAACAAAAUGGAAGAAAGGCAAGAAAGGAUGGAAGCCAAAGAAUUAGAGUUCCAAUUAAGAUUUAGAAACGUAUGGGAAGAACCAAAAGAGAAUAUAAGGAAAAAAAUGACUGAAAUAAUAUCUAAACUGCUUCAGUGCUCGGAAGAAGAAGUGGAAGAUAAGAUGGAUAGAGUAUAUAGAAUAAACACCAAUUUUGCAAGAAGGAAUAAAACGGCUCGCGACACAAUUGUGAACUUCACAAAGAAGAUAUUUAGGGACGAAAUCCUCAGAAUGAACAAUGGCCAACCAAUAAUUUAUAAAGGGAAGAAGAUCGCCGUACUGAAAGAAUUUCCGAGUGAAGUGAUAAACAGAAGAAGAAAGUAUACAUUUCUAGUAGAGGAACUAAAAAAAUAUAAUGUCAGGUUCCGAUGGGAAAGACCAGAAGGAUUAAUGGCGACCUAUCAAGAGCAAAAAUUUUGGAUCACGUCUGAAGAAAAGGCCAAAGCCUUUCUUAAAAGAUUAAAGGGGGAUAUGGAAAAACAGGAUAUUGGAGAAAACGAAGAUUCAAGGAAAAUGAGGGAAAGAGAAAGGAGACUGAGAGCAGAAUCACAAAGUAGGAAAGACAUAACCCUAGGCCUCCCAGGCACAAGUUCUGGGGAGAGAGAGGACUUAUUAGCGGCGGGGAAAAUAGAUGACGAAGCGGCCACAGAAGAGGAAGAAGAGGAAAUAGACGAGGAAGAGGAACAAAGGGAGAGCGAGAACGAAGGAUGA
This 1080-nucleotide long non-coding RNA is filed under the name Anolis carolinensis (green anole). Its description in RNAcentral is "lncRNA (ENSACAG00000037010.1)". Lineage: Eukaryota; Metazoa; Chordata; Lepidosauria; Squamata; Anolidae. The record is from RNAcentral.